This 562-nucleotide ribosomal RNA is filed under the name uncultured bacterium. RNAcentral's name for it is "bacterial SSU rRNA". It matches the Rfam family "Bacterial small subunit ribosomal RNA", at positions 338 to 917 of the family's 1533-position model. The record is from RNAcentral.
CCUACGGGAGGCAGCAGUGGGGAAUAUUGGACAAUGGGCGAAAGCCUGAUCCAGCAAUGCCGCGUGAGUGAUGAAGGCCUUCGGGUCGUAAAGCUCUUUUACCAGGGAUGAUAAUGACAGUACCUGGAGAAUAAGCUCCGGCUAACUCCGUGCCAGCAGCCGCGGUAAUACGGAGGGAGCUAGCGUUGUUCGGAAUUACUGGGCGUAAAGAGUACGUAGGCGGUUAUUCAAGUCAGAGGUGAAAGCCCGGGGCUCAACCCCGGAACUGCCUUUGAAACUAGAUAACUAGAGUCUUGGAGAGGUUAGUGGAAUUCCGAGUGUAGAGGUGAAAUUCGUAGAUAUUCGGAAGAACACCAGUGGCGAAGGCGACUAACUGGACAAGUACUGACGCUGAGGUACGAAAGCGUGGGGAGCAAACAGGAUUAGAUACCCUGGUAGUCCACGCCGUAAACGAUGAUAACUAGUUGUUCGGUCACUUGGUGACUGAGUGACGCAGCUAACGCAUUAAGUUAUCCGCCUGGGGAGUACGGUCGCAAGAUUAAAACUCAAAGGAAUUGACCGG